AACGAACGCUGGCGGCAUGCCUAACACAUGCAAGUCGAACGAGACCUUCGGGUCUUUUUGCGCUCGUGUGCUUACCGCGUGGUAACUUGCCCUUAGGUUCCGUAUACCUCCCUUUAAGGUGUGCUCAUACCGCUUAAUCUCUUCCCACCUAAGAUUUCUCGCGUUUGGAUGGGCGCGCUUUGGAUUCGCUGGUUGGUAGUGUACACGCAUCCCAAGGCGUCGAUCCUUAGCUGGUCUGAUAGGAGGAUCAGCCACACUGGGACUGAGACACGGCCCAGACUGGUACGGGAGGGAGCAGAGGGGAAUAUUGGACAAGGGGCGAAAGCCUGAUAAAGCAAUGCCGGGGGAGUGAGGAAGGGGGUAGGGUAGUAAAGCCGUCUUACCCGGGAUGAUAAUGACGGUAACGGGAGAAUAAGCACCGGCUAACUACGUG
This 433-nucleotide ribosomal RNA is filed under the name uncultured bacterium. Its description in RNAcentral is "partial 16S ribosomal RNA". It matches the Rfam family "Bacterial small subunit ribosomal RNA", at positions 29 to 507 of the family's 1533-position model. The record is from RNAcentral.